RNAcentral lists this ribosomal RNA (795 nucleotides) under uncultured archaeon. RNAcentral describes it as "bacterial SSU rRNA". It matches the Rfam family "Archaeal small subunit ribosomal RNA", at positions 58 to 833 of the family's 1478-position model. The record is from RNAcentral.
UUGCGUCUUCAAGUUAUGGUGGAGAUGAAGCGUACAGCUCAGUAACACGUAGUUAACCUGCCCUUGGGACGGAGAUAACCCCGGGAAACCGGGGAUAAUACUCGAUGAGUGAGAGUGCCUGGAAUGGCUUCUCGCCGAAAUGGUGACAGAACCAUACUUUUUGUUAUCGCCCAAGGAUGGAACUGCGGCCGAUCAGGUUGUUGGUGAGGUAACGGCUCACCAAGCCUAUAACCGGUACGGGCCGUGAGAGCGGUAGCCCGGAGAUGGGCACUGAGAUAAGGGCCCAGGCCCUACGGGGCGCAGCAGCUACGAAAACUCUGCUAUGCGCGAAAGCGCGACAGGGCUACCCCGAGUGCCGUCCGCUGAGGAUGGCUUUUAUUCGGCGUAAGUCGAAGGAAUAAGGGGAGGGCAAGCCUGGUGUCAGCCGCCGCGGUAAUACCAGCUCCUCAAGUGGUGGGGAUGAUUAUUGGGCCUAAAGCGCCCGUAGCCGGUUCGGUAAGUCUUCUGUUAAAUCCAACGACUCAAUCGUUGGACUGCGGGAGAUACUGCUGGACUAGGAGGCGGAAGAAGCCGACGGUACUCUUAGGGUAGGGGUGAAAUCCUAUAAUCCUAAGAGGACCACCAGUGGCGAAGGCGGUCGGCUAGAACGCGCUCGACGGUGAGGGACGAAAGCCUGGGGAGCGAUCCGGAUUAGAUACCCGGGUAGUCCAGGCCGUAAACGAUGCAGGCUAGGUGUUGGCAUGACUACGAGUUAUGCCAGUGCCGCAGGGAAGCCGUUAAGCCUGCCGCCUGGGA